Non-coding RNA from Pelobates cultripes (western spadefoot toad), 214 nucleotides. The record is from the annotation of a GenBank genome assembly. Lineage: Eukaryota; Metazoa; Chordata; Amphibia; Anura; Pelobatidae.
GGGGGAGUUACACAGGGUUAGGGUUAUAGGGGGGAGUUACACAGGGUUAGGAUUAUAGGGGGGAGUUACACAGGGUUAGGGUUACGGGGGGAGAUACGCAGGGUUAGGGUUAUAGGGGGAGUUACACAGGGUUAGUGUUAUAGGGGGAGUUACGCAGGGGAAUUACGCAGGGUUAGGGUUAUGGGGGAGUUACACAGGGUUAGGAUUACAGGGG